This 315-nucleotide ribosomal RNA is filed under the name uncultured bacterium. RNAcentral describes it as "bacterial SSU rRNA". It matches the Rfam family "Bacterial small subunit ribosomal RNA", at positions 32 to 337 of the family's 1533-position model. The record is from RNAcentral.
AAUCAACGCUGGCGGCGUGCCUCAGACAUGCAAGUCGUACGAUUAAAGCUCUCUUCGGAGAGUGUAUAGAGUGGCGCACGGGUGAGUAACACGUAAGUAAUCUACCUUCGAGUGGGGAAUAACAGUCGGAACGACUGCUAAUACCGCAUAAUGCAGCGGCACCUAAUGGUGACAGUUGUUAAAGCAUUUAUGUGCUUGAAGAGGAGCUUGCGGCAGAUUAGCUAGUUGGUAAGGUAAUGGCUUACCAAGGCGACGAUCUGUAGCCGACCUGAGAGGGUGGUCGGGUCACACUGACACUGAAUAACGGGUCAGACU